GUGAACGCUGGCGGUAGGCCUAACACAUGCAAGUCGAACGGCAGCACAGUAAGAGCUUGCUCUUACGGGUGGCGAGUGGCGGACGGGUGAGGAAUACAUCGGAAUCUACUUUUUCGUGGGGGAUAACGUAGGGAAACUUACGCUAAUACCGCAUACGACCUACGGGUGAAAGCAGGGGAUCUUCGGACCUUGCGCGAUUGAAUGAGCCGAUGUCGGAUUAGCUAGUUGGCGGGGUAAAGGCCCACCAAGGCGACGAUCCGUAGCUGGUCUGAGAGGAUGAUCAGCCACACUGGAACUGAGACACGGUCCAGACUCCUACGGGAGGCAGCAGUGGGGAAUAUUGGACAAUGGGCGCAAGCCUGAUCCAGCCAUACCGCGUGGGUGAAGAAGGCCUUCGGGUUGUAAAGCCCUUUUGUUGAGAAAGAAAAGCAGCAGGUUAAUACCCCGCUGUUCUGACGGUACCCAAAGAAUAAGCACCGGCUAACUUCGUG
This 491-nucleotide ribosomal RNA is filed under the name uncultured bacterium. Its description in RNAcentral is "partial 16S ribosomal RNA". It matches the Rfam family "Bacterial small subunit ribosomal RNA", at positions 29 to 507 of the family's 1533-position model. The record is from RNAcentral.